ACUACUUAUCAUAAAUUAGUAUAAUUGGGUCUGUAGACUCUCCACCCAUUUUGACCGAUUCGUCCGAAACAUUGAAACCAUUCUGAACGAAUGUGGAAUUACUGUUAAAGCCUUUGAAUUUACAUCCAGUCCAGUCAAAGACGAUAAUUGACAAGUUUGCUGCUGUGGGAAUACUCCAGGGAUACCUGGAUUAUGUUAACAGGAAGAUGAAGUUGGAAGCAGCAGAGUAAGAUGUCUCUAAAUGGAUGUAAGUUGCUUGUUAUCCAUGUACAUAACAGGACUGUUUAAUGAAUGUUGUACUCACAAGUCACAACAUAGAUGUACCUCUGUUUUUGAGUUUCACAAUUUCCUUAGCUUUUGCUUUGUAAUUUUUGAACUGUUUGUGUUCAUCAUCAAUGAACAUGAAGUGUUUUCAUUUUUUAAUAGAUCUAUUCUACUUAAUACUUAUAAAAAAAUAGAGAAAAGUCACAAGUCACAACAUAGUUGUUGAAGCAAUAUUAUGUGACAAUUUAGUUCAUUGUCACGUUUCACUUGAGUUGCCCUGAAAUCAUGGUCCUACAGGAAUAAAAAAUUGCAAUUUAAAAAAAAAAAAAAACUGCCUAUUCAUUAAAAGCACGUCUUUGAUAAUCCGAUGAAUUACUAUAGCUCUCUGGCAAGGCAGGCAUUGGGUGGAACUGUGGAUGCAUGGAGCAUUUAUUGAAGACAGCUAGAAACCAAGUGGAUUAUUUAAAUCUUUACAUGCUCUAUAAUUUGUUGUAAGAUUUGUUAAUGAAUGUGAUGGGAACUUUAUGAAUGUAAUUUCUUUUUCUUUUAAAAAUUCUAUUAGAAAAAAAAAAGAAAAGAAAAUAUGGUUUU
Long non-coding RNA from Quercus robur (English oak), 855 nucleotides. RefSeq lists it as uncharacterized. The transcript has 3 exons. The record is from RefSeq and is a predicted model, not a curated record. Lineage: Eukaryota; Viridiplantae; Streptophyta; Magnoliopsida; Fagales; Fagaceae.